Molecule: ribosomal RNA, 439 nt
Filed under: uncultured bacterium
Lineage: Bacteria
Description: partial 16S ribosomal RNA
Rfam family: Bacterial small subunit ribosomal RNA
Source: RNAcentral
CUACGGGCGGCAGCAGUGAGGAAUAUUGCACAAUGGGGGGAACACUGAUGCAGCAACGCCGCGUGGAGGAUGACGCAUUUCGGUGUGUAAACUCCUUUUAUAUGUCAAGAAAAUGACGGUAGCAUAUGAAUAAGCACCGGCUAACUCCGUGCCAGCAGCCGCGGUAAUACGGAGGGUGCAAGCGUUACUCGGAAUCACUGGGAGUAAAGGACGCGUAGGCGGGUUGGAAAGUCAGGUGUGAAAUCCUACAGCUUAACUGUAGAACUGCACUUGAAACUUCUAAUCUAGAGUAUGGGAGGGGGAGAUGGAAUUAGUGGUGUAGGGGUAAAAUCCGUAGAUAUCACUAGGAAUACCUAAAGCGAAGGCGAUCUCCUGGAACAUUACUGACGCUAAGGCGUGAAAGCGUGGGGAGCAAACAGGAUUAGAUACCCCCGUAGUC